CCCAGGAGCCCCAAGUGGCAACCACCUUUAUUGGGCCUAAAGCGUCCGUAGCCUGUUCUGUAAAUUUUCUGUGAAAUCGUUGCGCUUAACGUAACGGCGAGCAGAAAACACUGCAAGACUAGGGACCGGGAGGAGUUAGGGGUAUUUCAGGGGGAGCGGUAAAAUGCUAUAAUCCCAGGAGGACCACCUGUGGCGAAGGCGCCUAACCAGAACGGAUCCGACGGUGAGGGACGAAAGCUAGGGGAGCAAUCCGG
Molecule: ribosomal RNA, 254 nt
Filed under: uncultured archaeon
Lineage: Archaea
Description: partial 16S ribosomal RNA
Rfam family: Archaeal small subunit ribosomal RNA
Source: RNAcentral